AACGAACGCUGGCGGCAUGCCUAACACAUGCAAGUCGAACGAGACCUUCGGGUCUAGUGGCGCACGGGUGCGUAACGCGUGGGAACCUGCCCUUAGGUUCGGAAUAACUCCCCGAAAGGGGUGCUAAUACCGGAUAAUGUCUUCGGACCAAAGAGUUAUCGCCUUUGGAUGGGCCCGCGUUGGAUUAGCUAGGUGGUAGGGUAAAAGCCUACCAAGGCGACGAUCCAUAGCUGGUCUGAGAGGAUGAUCAGCCACACUGGGACUGAGACACGGCCCAGACUCCUACGGGAGGCAGCAGUGGGGAAUAUUGGACAAUGGGCGAAAGCCUGAUCCAGCAAUGCCGCGUGAGUGAUGAAGGCCUUAGGGUUGUAAAGCUCUUUUACCCGGGAUGAUAAUGACAGUACCGGGAGAAUAAGCUCCGGCUAACUCCGUG
RNAcentral lists this ribosomal RNA (433 nucleotides) under uncultured bacterium. Its description in RNAcentral is "partial 16S ribosomal RNA". It matches the Rfam family "Bacterial small subunit ribosomal RNA", at positions 29 to 507 of the family's 1533-position model. The record is from RNAcentral.